Molecule: ribosomal RNA, 570 nt
Filed under: Armillaria mellea
Lineage: Eukaryota; Fungi; Basidiomycota; Agaricomycetes; Agaricales; Physalacriaceae
Description: eukaryotic LSU rRNA
Rfam family: Eukaryotic large subunit ribosomal RNA
Source: RNAcentral
CAAGGAUUCCCCUAGUAACUGCGAGUGAAGAGGGAAAAGCUCAAAUUUAAAAUCUGGCAGCGUUUGCUGUCCGAGUUGUAAUUUAGAGAAGUGUUACCCGCGUUGGACCGUGUACAAGUCUCCUGGAAUGGAGCGUCAUAGAGGGUGAGAAUCCCGUCUUUGACACGGACUACCAAGGCAUUGUGGUACGCUCUCAAAGAGUCGAGUUGUUUGGGAAUGCAGCUCUAAAUGGGUGGUAAAUUCCAUCUAAAGCUAAAUAUUGGCGAGAGACCGAUAGCAAACAAGUACCGUGAGGGAAAGAUGAAAAGAACUUUGGAAAGAGAGUUAAACAGUACGUGAAAUUGUUGAAAGGGAAACGCUUAAAGUCCAGUCGCGUUGGUUAGGAAUCAGCCUUGGUUUUUCCUUGGCGCAUUUCCUAGUCGACGGGUCAACAUGAGUUUUGACUGUUGGAUAAAGAUCAAGGGAAUGUGACACCUUCGGGUGUGUUAUAGCUUUUGGUUGUAUACAACGGUUGGGACUGAGGAACUCAGCACGCCGAAAGGCCAGGUCUUGUACCAUGUACGUGCUUAG